Molecule: long non-coding RNA, 3008 nt
Filed under: Pelobates cultripes (western spadefoot toad)
Lineage: Eukaryota; Metazoa; Chordata; Amphibia; Anura; Pelobatidae
Source: RNAcentral
AGAAAAAGACCCUCUAGGGGUCGAAACGUUGAUCGAUGCUUUUUGCACUUAGAUAAUACCACAAUAAAAGAAAAUAUUGUCAAGAAGUCCUCUGAGUGCUUCCACUACUCCGUGUGUGUAUAUAUUUAAUUUAUUUCAUUGGCUUGAUUUAUUGUGUGCUAAUAUCAGAUUAUGAAAGAAUGGACUGGAAUAACUCGUAUUUUCUAUUUAUUUUUAACUUUUUAUUUUAACAGGUUGGUCAUGGGGAGGAAGAAGAGGAAAGUGAUCUUUUCACUAUUCGGGAGGUGAGCUUCCAGCCCACAGGUGAAACAGACUGGAAGGAAAACAGCUACACCCUAAGCACAGAUUCUCUUGACUGGGUCAGUGCCAUUUAAAUCUUACACAAUAUUUGUGCAUCUAAGCAAAGUUAAUACUAUUGUAUUGAUGAUACUUACAGUUGUCCGUCUUCUCGACCUGAGCACCUACAUCUUUGCUCUCACUCAAUUCUUGUCUUAAAUGUGCCUUUUUCUGCCAUUGAACAUGGCAGGAGGGGAGAAAACCAGUGUUUCUCUUCUCCAUGUUUGCAUUGUGUGCACUGACUGUGCUGGACAUAACUGUGAUUGUCUUUUAAAAGGACAUUCAAGGUACCCAGAUCACUUCAUUUCAAUGAAGUGCCAUGUUCGUGCCUAACACUGCAAUCUAAAACAUAUCUGUUCUGCAGGAAUGGCAAUGUUGACAUUGCAGGAUUUAAAUGCCUCUAGUGCCUGUCACUCUGACAGCCAAUAGAGGAGCUUUGUCUGAAGUAGAAAUAGUUUCUCUAUCAGAUGGUCUCCUGUCAGUGCUAUAAAUGUAAAAGUGUGUGUCCCUUUAAUAUUGUAUAUAUUGUCUGUGGAGAGCAGGAGUCUUAAUGUGUCUAAUUUUUCUGAAUAUUCUAGAAAUGGAGGGGAAGCACUGUUCAUUGGAUACUCUUGCUAUGUAACGUUUAUUGAUUAUUAUUGGAAACUUUAUACUCUUGCUAUUCCUUCCAGAACCUUCAGAAGGAGUAAAAAACUACAAUAGUGUCCAUAAUAACUGAAAAACAGUACAUAUUGGCAGAAAAAUACAUUUUAGGGAGAGCGUUUUUUUUUUUAAACACUUUCCAUUCUCCAUUACCUUGUAUCCAAAUGUUUCCCAAUACUAAAUGAAAGAAAUUCAAGGAGUGUAAUUGACACUGACUUAGUUUGGUGUGGGGUAGGAGUGGUAACCGUUUUGUGUAUAUUUUACCAAAGUCUUCUGUGGGCUAUUUGUUUACUGUUGCACUUAUCUAUGGUGGCAGAGGGAGCUCAAGGCCAUUUCAUUAAAUAAAUCCAUUUUUUUUUUUUCUCUCCUCAGGCUCUAUAUGAUCACUUGAUGGAUUUUCUGGCUGAUCGUGGAGUGGAUAAUACAUUUGCUGAUGAGCUUGUGGAACUUAGCACUGCAUUGGAACAUCAAGAAUACAUCCGCUUCUUAGAAAAUCUGAAAAACUUUGUUAAAUGCUAAGGUGUUGUUCAGGAUAGGAAUCUUUUAUUUACCCAUAGAGUGGACCACACUUUCAGUUCUGCGUUAUACCAUUUUUGGUUCUUUAAUCUAUUGAUGGAACUACAGCAAAGAUAUGGAAACACUUUUUUGUGUGUUUCUUUAACUUGGCAAAAAUGGUAAGGCAAAAAAAUGUGUUCACAUAAACACAAGAGCUGAGUUGUGGUUACUGCAUAUAAGACAUGUUUAAUGUUUUAUUUCAUACAGUUUAGCAAUUUAAAAUCUUGUAAUAUCUGGAUAUUGCAACUACCCUUAUUUAAUCAUGCAGUAUGUGCUUCAUUGGACAAUCUUGUUUCAAACAAAUAUUGUAUUGUCUGCCAUUGUUGUAUUGUUUACAAUAUUGUUUUCUACAGAUCCCUAAACAAAUUAAAGUCAGAUUCUGUUAAUUGUUUUUACUUUAUUUCAUUUUGGUCUUUCCACUGACCGCAGCAUUAACACAAGAGUAGAUUAAUUUUAGAAUAGACCAAUAUUCCAUAGUUAGGCUAAGAUUAUGUGGGAAAUCAAAUGUUUACAUGCAUUUAAACUGGAGUUUGAUGACAAGUUGCCUACUUACUAACACUUGUGUUAAUCUGUAUAAACAUACAUUUCCUUGACAUAUCUAGAAAAACUUCUUACAUUUUAAGAACUUAUUCCAUUCAGCAAUUUUUUUAUUUUUCCUAAAGUGUUUUGACUAACGCUUGUACAUUUUAAAGACAAAUGCCACACCUCAUCUUGCUGGUUUUUAUACAAAAAUAAACAUACUUUUGAUUCCUACUAAGGACAAUAGUUUGUUUAUGCAAGGCAUUCUUAAAGGGAUCCUACAGUACCUCCCUCUACUCCCUCCCCACCCCCCCCGUGGCACUGAAACGUUAAAACCCUCUUAGUCACUUACCUGAAUCCAGUGCCGCUGGGUCAAGUGCUGCCCAUGCUGUUGACAGGGGAGACCUAAUGCUCAUGCGCGGCCAUUGUUUGCGCUCGCAUUAGGAUUUCCCCAUAGGAAAGCAUUAAUCAAUGGGGUUUUUUUUUUUUUUUUUUUUUCUAUGGGUGAUAAAGCUGACGCUGGAGGAAAUUAUGCAGGUCCGUUUCCAUUCCGGAAGCCCUCUAGUGGCUGUCUGGUAGACAGCCACUGUGGGCUGAAGUGUUCUGGGUGCCUACAGUGUCCCUUUAAACUCUCUUCAAUGUAUUUAUCUCUAAAACUUCCAAUGCUGGGCUAUUCUCAAAAUCAACAAAACUCUAAAUAAGGCUCUCUUUACAGGAAGUGUUUAUGGAAGGCUGUGCAAGUCACAUGCAGGGAGGUGUGACUAGGGUUCAUAAACAAAGGGAUUUAACUCCUAAAUGGCAGAGGAUUGAGCAGUGAGGCUGCAGGGGCAUGUUCAAUACACUAAAACUGCUUCAUUAAGCUAAAGUUGUUCAGGUGACUCUAGUGUCCCUUUAAUAAAAGAAAUGGAACAUUUUCGCUAUAAACAAAAUGUUAAACUUAAAGGACCACUCUAGGC